This 324-nucleotide ribosomal RNA is filed under the name uncultured eukaryote. Its description in RNAcentral is "partial 18S ribosomal RNA". It matches the Rfam family "Eukaryotic small subunit ribosomal RNA", at positions 1470 to 1796 of the family's 1831-position model. The record is from RNAcentral.
CCCUUAGAUGUCCUGGGCUGCACGCGCGCUACACUGAUGUGUUCAAUAAGCACCUAACCUACUCCGAAGGGACUGGGUAACCUUUGCAAAGCACAUCGUGAUGGGGAUAGAUUAUUGCAAUUAUUAGUCUUGAACGAGGAAUUCCUAGUAAGCGCAAGUCAUCAGCUUGUGUUGAUUACGUCCCUGCCCUUUGUACACACCGCCCGUCGCUCCUACCGAUUGAGUGUUCCGGUGAGCUCUUCGGACUGCGCGGUCUGCAGUUUCUGCGUUCCGUGCGGAAAGUUGUGCAAACCUUAACAUUUAGAGGAAGGAGAAGUCGUAACA